Molecule: ribosomal RNA, 274 nt
Filed under: uncultured bacterium
Lineage: Bacteria
Description: partial 16S ribosomal RNA
Rfam family: Bacterial small subunit ribosomal RNA
Source: RNAcentral
AUACGUAGGGUGCGAGCGUUAAUCGGAAUUACUGGGCGUAAAGCGCGCGUAGGUGGUCAAGUCAGUCAACUGUGAAAGCCCAGGGCUCAACCUUGGAAUUGCAGCUGAUACUGCUCGACUCGAGUAUGGUAGAGGGGUGUGGAAUUUCCUGUGUAGCGGUGAAAUGCGUAGAUAUAGGAAGGAACACCAGUGGCGAAGGCGACACCCUGGACCAAUACUGACACUGAGGUGCGAAAGCGUGGGGAGCAAACAGGAUUAGAUACCCGGGUAGUCC